This 324-nucleotide long non-coding RNA is filed under the name Gossypium raimondii (Peruvian cotton). Its description in RNAcentral is "long non-coding RNA (GRAI_LNC007347)". The record is from RNAcentral. Lineage: Eukaryota; Viridiplantae; Streptophyta; Magnoliopsida; Malvales; Malvaceae.
UUUUCCCCUCCACUUCUCUCACCUUUUGCAUAGCUUCUUGAAGCUUCUCAUCAUCAUCACCAUCUAAUAAGUACAUAACCUUCAUCAAAUAAGCAUUCUCAUCCUCUAAAUCACUAUCACUUUCAUCCUUAACCUCCUUCUCACCACCUUCAUUGACAGCAACAUCCACUCUCCUCACCUAAACCUUCAACAACCUCACCACCCUCUCCCUCACCCUCACCCUCACCCUCACCCUCACCCUCACCAUAUUUACUACUAACAACCUCACCACCCUCACCCUCACCCUCACCCUCACUACAUUUACUACCAACAACGUCACCAUCC